GAUGAACGCUAGCGAUAGGCUUAACACAUGCAAGUCGAGGGGCAGCAUGGUCUUAGCUUGCUAAGACUGAUGGCGACCGGCGCACGGGUGCGUAACGCGUAUGCAACUUGCCUCACAGAGGGGGAUAACCCGUCGAAAGACGGACUAAUACCGCGUACACUCCAUCUUGGGCAUCCAAGGUAGAGGAAAUGAAAUUCGCUGUGAGCGAGGCAUGCGUCCCAUUAGCUAGUUGGUGAGGUAACGGCUCACCAAGGCGACGAUGGGUAGGGGAACUGAGCGGUUGAACCCCCACACUGGUACUGAGACACGGACCAGACUCCUACGGGAGGCAGCAGUGAGGAAUAUUGGUCAAUGGGCGAGAGCCUGAACCAGCCAAGUCGCGUGAAGGAUGACUGUCUUAUGGAUUGUAAACUUCUUUUAUACGGGAAUAACAAGAGUCACGUGUGACUCCCUGCAUGUACCGUAUGAAUAAGCAUCGGCUAACUCCGUG
RNAcentral lists this ribosomal RNA (490 nucleotides) under uncultured bacterium. RNAcentral describes it as "partial 16S ribosomal RNA". It matches the Rfam family "Bacterial small subunit ribosomal RNA", at positions 28 to 507 of the family's 1533-position model. The record is from RNAcentral.